RNAcentral lists this long non-coding RNA (811 nucleotides) under Homo sapiens (human). Its description in RNAcentral is "non-protein coding PCBP1-AS1:43". Lineage: Eukaryota; Metazoa; Chordata; Mammalia; Primates; Hominidae. The record is from RNAcentral.
GCCCCGUCAGGGCCCGCCAUCUUGGAAGGCCUUUUUUGCCGGUUCUUCCCGCUGAGGAAGUGUCGCUCAAGACGCUGGCCUAUGAGUUGUGAUUUCUGCCUUUUCCCCUUCCUCCUUGGGCUAAGCCAGACCAGAAAGGGCCCCGUGCGCAACGUGCUUCACAAUCUCUCAGGGAAAGCGGCUAACGUGGCGCUACUCCGCCUCCCCUGUUCCUUACCCUUGGGGCGGCCGCCAUGUUUCCUGAACACAAAAUGGCGACACGUGGUUAGCAUUCGUCGCCAACGAGAAAUUGGGGUCGGCCCGAAAGCUCUAGAAUGCACCCCUCUUCCUCCCCGGGGCCUUCCACCUCCGCGAGUUUUAUGACUUAAAAAAGCCCACAGGCUGGUCUGAAGAGGAAGACAAACAUAAAGAUGAAGUGCUUAAUUCAAGGUCACACAAUGUCGGGGAUGGACCUCCAGAUUUCCUUACUGACCUGCAUUAUCUUGUGGAUACCUGAGUGAAUUCCACACCACCCAUUUUAUAGAUGAAACCACUGAGACAUGGAGCAAUUGACUGAGUAGUCACUGCCCCACCCCUGCCUGGAGCCUCACACAUGACUCGCCUCCUCUCAGUGACCACAGGUGAGACGUGGUCUUGUAACACAGUGGUUAAGAAUGUGACUUUGGAGCCAGCCUGCUAGGGGCUGAAUUCUGACUCAGCCAUUUACUAACUGUGUGACCUUAGGGAGGAGGACCUGGUUGAUAGAAGAAUUUAUCUCGUAGUCUUAACAUCCACUGUAAUUCCAAACUUUGAGGACGAUAGAGAUCAGUGG